ACGUAGGGGGCGAGCGUUGUCCGGAUUUAUUGGGCGUAAAGCGCGCGUAGGCGGCCCGUUAAGUCGGAUGUGAAAACCCGGGGCUCAACCCCGGGCCUGCAUUCGAUACUGGCGGGCUCGAGGCAGGCAGGGGAGAGCGGAAUUCCUGGUGUAGCGGUGAAAUGCGCAGAUAUCAGGAGGAACACCGGUGGCGAAGGCGGCUC
This 203-nucleotide ribosomal RNA is filed under the name uncultured prokaryote. RNAcentral's name for it is "partial 16S ribosomal RNA". It matches the Rfam family "Bacterial small subunit ribosomal RNA", at positions 525 to 727 of the family's 1533-position model. The record is from RNAcentral.